RNAcentral lists this unclassified non-coding RNA (402 nucleotides) under soil metagenome. RNAcentral's name for it is "partial contains 5.8S ribosomal RNA, internal transcribed spacer 2, and large subunit ribosomal RNA". The stretch from base 1 to 121 matches the Rfam family "5.8S ribosomal RNA", at positions 35 to 154 of the family's 154-position model. The record is from RNAcentral.
GAUGAAGAACGUAGCGAAAUGCGAUAAGUAAUGUGAAUUGCAGAAUUCAGUGAAUCAUCGAAUCUUUGAACGCACCUUGCGCCCUUUGGCUAUUCUGAAGGGCAUGCCUGUUUGAGUAUCAUGAACACCUCAACUCUCAUGGUUCGCCAUGAUGAGCUUGGACUUUGGGGGUCUUGCUGGCCUACGGUCGGCUCCUCUCAAAUGAAUCAGCUUGCCAGUGUUUGGUAGAGUCGCAGGUGUGAUAACUAUCUACGCUUGUGGUUUUCUGCCAGAUAACCUUCAGUGAUGGCGGUUCGCUGGAGCUUAUAAAUGUCUCUCCCCAGUGAGGACAGCUUUUUGAACGUUUGAUCUCAAAUCAGGUAGGACUACCCGCUGAACUUAAGCAUAUCAAUAAGCGGAGGA